AUGAAAUCUAAUAGGACUAUCUUUCCGCCCAUCAAAAUUAUGGUUUAAAGAUAUGUGUUGUCCGUUAGACAUUUUUUAUUUCUUCUCACAAAAAAAAAAAAGAGCAGAAAAAUCUCAUUAAACAAAUCUAAUCCCAUAAGGCGUCUCAUUCAACAAAUCUGAUCUAAACCACUUACUGAGUAAAUUGCAUCGUAUCUAAACC
Molecule: long non-coding RNA, 202 nt
Filed under: Musa acuminata (dwarf banana)
Lineage: Eukaryota; Viridiplantae; Streptophyta; Magnoliopsida; Zingiberales; Musaceae
Description: long non-coding RNA (MACU_LNC006672)
Source: RNAcentral